This is a long non-coding RNA of Psammomys obesus (fat sand rat), 296 nucleotides long. RefSeq lists it as uncharacterized. The transcript is spliced from 3 exons. The record is from RefSeq and is a predicted model, not a curated record. Lineage: Eukaryota; Metazoa; Chordata; Mammalia; Rodentia; Muridae.
GGAUUACAACCAGAUCAGCUGCAUUGAAGACGGGGCAUUUAGAGCACUGAGAGAUCUGGAAGUACUCACCCUGAACAAUAACAAUAUUACUAGACUGUCAGUGGCAAGUUUCAACCAUAUGCCUAAACUUAGGACAUUCCGACUCCACUCAAACAACCUGUACUGCGACUGCCACCUGGCCUGGCUCUCGGACUGGCUUCGCCAAAGGCCUAGGGUGGGCUUAUACACCCAGUGUAUGGGCCCAUCCCACCUGAGGGGUCACAAUGUAGCAGAGGUUCAAAAACGAGAGUUUGUCU